GCCAGGCAUGGUGGCGCACUCCUGUAAUCCCAGCGGCUUGGGAGGCUGAGGCAGGAGAAUCACAAAUUCAAAGCCAGCCUCAG
This 83-nucleotide small RNA is filed under the name Marmota monax (woodchuck). Lineage: Eukaryota; Metazoa; Chordata; Mammalia; Rodentia; Sciuridae. The record is from RNAcentral.